Molecule: long non-coding RNA, 4737 nt
Filed under: Cricetulus griseus (Chinese hamster)
Lineage: Eukaryota; Metazoa; Chordata; Mammalia; Rodentia; Cricetidae
Description: lncRNA (ENSCGRG00015036812.1)
Rfam family: Small nucleolar RNA SNORD126 (bases 2137-2213)
Source: RNAcentral
CCUUGAACUCAGCCAAUCAAACUCGGAGGCACUUUACUUAGGUCGCUUCCCCUCCUUCUCCUUCCUCUACCUCUCCUCUCUGGUGGGCUGGUUUCAGGUUGAAGAUGAAAUGUGUCCAGGAAAGUGCUGGGACUGUAGCACUCUGUGUGCCAGCUCAGAUGUCCUGUGAAAACUCCAGAAUAUCUAUAAAAUGGCCUUGCAUUUGGACAUUCUCAAGAGGGAGGCUUAAAGGCUGAUGGAACUAUAAAGGCAGGUAGGUACUCAUUCUGACCCAGAAUUUCUGCAUUGUACAUAUAUGCUGUUUCCCUGCCCCUUCUCAUGGUGCUGGGUACUGACUGAGCAGUAACUCUUUCUAGCCCUAUAUAUAAAAAUUUAUUUUGAAGCAGGGUCUUGUUAAAUUAUUCAAGCUUGUUUUAAACUUGCUGAACUUCUGACCUCAGGCUGGUAUUACAGGUUCAUACCUGUACUGGUUGGCUUAUGUGUCUACUUGAAAUAAGCUAGAAUUAUCAGAGAGGAAGGAACCUCAGUUGAGGAAAUGCCUCCAUGAGAUUCAGCCGGAAGGUAUUUUCUCAAUUAGUGAUCAAUGUAGGAGGGCCCAGCCCAUACAUAGUAGGUGGUGCCAACCCUGGGAUGGUGGUCCUAGAUUCUGUAAGCAGGCUGAGGGGAGGCAAACCAGUAAGCAGCUUACCUCCAUGGCCUUUGCAUUAGUUCUUUCCUCCAGAUUCCAUCGCUGUUUGAGUCUGUGACUGUAUACUUUUACACAUGCUGGUUUUUUUGGUGUUUUUUUUUUUUCCUUUUUUUCUUUUUCUUUCUUUUUUAAAUUUUCUCUGUAGCUUUGGAGCCUGUUAAUACCUACCUAAGACGUACAUACCUUCAUGUGCAGAAGCCUUCCUUCAUAAGGGAUUCUUUUUGUUUGGUCUGACUGGGUCAAACUGGUCUGGAAUCUAGAAAUUCUCCCUCGACCUCUGAAUGCUGGGUUGCACUGAGAUACCACACAUGGAGAGUUACUCUUUUUAGUUUUGCUCUGCACCCUAGUGCUUUUUUUGUUGUCUAUCACUAGCCUACUCAUUAAACCGUGAGUUUAAUGUUAAUUGCAUAUAAUAUGGAAAAUUUCUAGCUCAUAAUUAGGUGAAGAAUAGAAAAGUGUCGGGAAGUAUUUGUGGUAAAUGAACUUUAUUUUCAUUGAAGCCUUACACUGCCAUCUUGUGGUCAACAGGGGCUCCAAAUGUUUUUUCUAUGUCGGGAAGUUGUUAAAUUCAAUCAGUAUUGGCUCAAUUUGAAAAUUAUUUUGGAUUACUUUUUUUCUUUUAAAACUGUAUGAAUUGGCUUUUUUUCCCCAUACUAUUUUUUUCCUUUCAAAGAUUGGUUACUUAGUGUGACUUUUAUCUAAAUUAGAAAAUACUUAUUUUAAUUAUGUGAACAUGUGGGUACCUAUGAGUGUGCUGCCAGAAGAGUUGCUCUCACUGGAGCUGGAGUACAGACUGCUGUGAGCUGCCUGGUGUGAGCAGUGGGAGCAGAACUCAGGUCUUUUGGAAGGGCAGCAAGAGCUACUAACUUGGGUGUCUCUGGCCCCAUCUUAACUGUUUGUUUGUUUGAUUCCCAGCCUCCUUUCCCCCCUCCCAUCUUAAUUCUUAAAAUUCUGAGUUUGUGUGGAGGUCUUCUCCCAAAUUGAUGCUGACUUAGGGUUUUGUUUGCAAAUUUAUAUUUUGCAGAGCCUUUGCAGCUCAAGCUGACCUUCAACUUAGUGUGUGGCCAAAAGUUUGGUUUAAAUAUUCCAUCUACUUGCUUUGAUGGCAGAUGUGUGCCACAGCUGGCUUUAAGUUGUAUUGAAUAGUGAGUCAGAUGGAAAAUGAACAGUCUACUUUUCUUCACAACUGAGUAUUUGGAGCAUGUUGGUAUGAUUUAUGUUAAGUGUAAUAUGACCUUUGUAUAUUUUUGUUUUCCAGAGAUGAUGCUAAGUAGUUCUGAUAUUUCAAUUUGGAUUCCUAGAUUAAAAAGCUGGAUUUAGUUGAGAGGAGAAUAUUAUAAUCACCUUUACCAAGAAAGGUAAGGGAUCUAGUGUUACUAGAGGCUGGAUUAGUUGGGUUUCCUGGCUGAAGAACAGUAUCAGUAGUUUGCCCUUCCUCAGUCAUUUACAGUUUGCUAUGAUGAAGUACAUGUCAAGUCCGUGUUUCAGCUGAUCACACUGAUUAAACACAUGUGCUGAGCAGACUAAAGUUAGGGCAAACACUUAAAUGUUUAUCAGCUUGGUAAACAUUUCUUACUUGGCUUUAGCCCUUCCCUCCCAGGGAAUUCAUAAUGUAAAAAAUUUGACAGUAUCAACAUUAAUUAAACACUACAAAAAGAGAAGUACUGGUAGCUGGUAUUCUGAUAACUAAUGAGAUUGACAGUUUAAAAGUUUUAUAUUCUAUGCAUAUUGGUAUAUGGGUACAUACAGUGCCCAUAGAGGCCAGAAAAGGACCUUGAGUCCCCUGUAACUGGAGUUAAAAGGGGUGUGAGCCACCCUGUGGGUGCUGGGAAUUGAACUUGGGUUCUUUGGAAGAGCAGUCACUGCUCUUCAGAUGUGCCAUUUCUCUAGUUAAGUCUGACAGUUUUAAACUCAUCACUUUUCAGUCUUUAUAUGAUUACUUGUUCAAUACUAUGCAGGUUUUUUUGUUUGUUUUUAGAGACGGGGUUUCUCUGUACUGCUUUGGAUGCUUUGGUGCCUGUCCUGGAACUUGAUUGUAGACCAGGCUGGCCUCAAACUCACAGAGAUCCGCCUGCCUCUGUCUCCCGAGUGCUUCGAUUAAAGAUGUGCCACCAACACCUGGCUCAAUACUAUGCAGUUUUUUUUAUACAUCUAUAUUUAUUGAAUGUUUGCAUUGCAAACAGGUUAUGGGCCAUAUAUUUCUUACUUGACCCUUCUAUACAUGUUUCUAUGAGAAAUCAUUUAGGAGUACAUAACAGCUAUGAACAAUUACCACCCCCCCAAACUAAGGAUGGAAUUCAAGAAGUACAAAUAUUUACAGUUUAGGAGAGAACACCAGAUUGAUAACACAUUUCUGGUCUGGACUUUCAUUCUGUAAAUCAUGGUUGUACAAUAAUGUCUGCAUCCUUUUAUGGUCAGGCUUGAGGAUGAGAUUUUGACAGAAUCUAAAUAUUGCUUUGUAAUUUGAUCAAUAGUCAAAGUCAAAAUAAUUGUAUAGUGGUUCUAUUUAGUAUACAUAGUAGGCUUCUAGUUGGACUGGGUUUAAGGUUCUAUCACUUAACAAGUUAUAUAACCUUGGCAAGUUUCCUCAUGGUUAUAUCUUAGAUGAGAAUAAUAGUAUAAGACAAGUGGAUAUUAGCUGUAAAGGAUAACUAAGCUAUACUUCAGACUUAGGCUAAGUAACAAGGAGGGCUCACUGGGGACAUGUGGAUCUCCCGGGGGAAAAGGAAAUAGAUUUUUGUAGGUGGACUGAGGUGAGUUGGGAUGGAAACAUGGUAGAUCAGGUGGAGGUAGGGAGGUGAGGGAGAGUAUUCAAAGAACCCACUAGAAAAGUGGGGGAGACAUGUCAGGAAGAAACCUAGUACAAGGAAAACUCCCAGGAAUCUAAAAGGGUGACUCCAGCUGUAGCUUAAACUGGCCACCUCCUAUGACCAAGCAAGACUACCAAUACCAACCCAGCCAUAUAACCUUCCACCUACAGUCUGUUCUGCUUAGGAGAUUGUGCUGGGGUAAGGGUGACAGAUUGUAGGAGUGGCCAGCAAUGUAAUGCCUAGUGAUAUUCUGCUAUACUUACAGAUUGGUGCCUAGACCCAACUGUCAUCAGAGAGGCUUCCUUCAGCAACUGAUGGAAACAGACGCCAAGACCCACUGAGUUUGCGGAAUCCUGCUGAAGAACGGAAUCCUUCCUCCCAUCAAGGGGGUCAAGGACAUCCAUAAGAAAACCCACAGAAUUAUCUAACCUGUUUCAUGGAGCUCACAGAGUCUGAACUUAGGCCCUCUACAUAUGGGACAGUUGUGUAGUGUGGGAGCAGGGGAUGCCUCUGAUUCUUUACUGGCUUUUGGGACCCUAUACUGGGUUGCCUUGCAAAGCCAUAAUACAAGGGCAGGUCCUUAGUUUUACUGCAACUUGAUAUACAUGGGAGGCCUGUGCUUUUUCUGAACAGAAACUGAGGCGUGGAUUGGUGGGAGUGGGGCAGUAUGGGGCAAACAUGUGUAGACAUGUAGGCAAAACACCCAUACGCAUAAAGUUAAAUUCUGUAUCUGCCAGGUGGCCUACUCAUUGCCUCUGCCAUUGGCUCCUGAAGCCCAAUUUAGUUCUAAAAUUAGGCACAGUAUUCAAUGAGUAUAUAAUUGAGUAAUGUUUUCUUAGUGGGUUAAUCUUGUUUUGGCACUAACUUGUUGAUCAUGUGUAAGACCAUUUAAGCCAGAGUGUCUGUUCUAAUGCUUCAUAAUUUGGUUGCAGGUAAAUUUGGCUCCUCAUAGAGAGCCUAAGCACUCCAUCAUAUUGCUUGCCUUCUCAGGGCUUCUUGAGGACCAGAAGUCUGUCCCCCUACUGUUUUCUGAACUUUACCCAGACAAACAAAUUUUAAAGCAGGAGGUGACUGUAGGGUGAAGAGUUCAAAACCCAGGGCCAUAGCUAUAGAGAACUUUUUAUUGUAUCAUUCCACAGGACUAUAGUGAUUGAUCCUUGGAGUUACUGAAACACUCAUGUUUAGAUUUUAAAUGGUUUGUUGUUUUCCCAAGUAAUUAAUAAAUUUGUUCAAAUUUAA